Molecule: transfer RNA, 45 nt
Filed under: Cervus nippon (sika deer)
Lineage: Eukaryota; Metazoa; Chordata; Mammalia; Artiodactyla; Cervidae
Description: partial tRNA-Pro
Source: RNAcentral
GUCAGGGAAUAGUUUAAAUAGAACUUCAGCUUUGGGUGUUGAUAG